UGACCCUCGGCUACCCGUUCCUGCCCCACUAGCGUGGCCGCGAGCCUCGGUGAGCCGGCCGUAUUCCCGCUCUCGCUUAGGGGGCACAGGCGCAGGAAGCGGCCCGGCCACUCCAAGCCUUCGGUGCGCGGGCGCGUCUGGGAUACGGGCCCGGGAGGCGCCGCCCUCCGUCCGCCCGGUGCCUCUCAGGAACAGCGAACCGGAGAGAGCGCCGGAGAGUUGGGCUCCGUGCAGAGCUCGGCGCCGGGGCCCAUGCCCGUGCGCCCCCGCAGGCCGGCGCCAUGGCCUCCGGGAGCGUGGCCGAGUGCCUGCAGCAGGAGACCACCUGCCCCGUGUGCCUGCAGUACUUCGCAGAGCCCAUGAUGCUCGACUGCGGCCAUAACAUCUGUUGCGCGUGCCUCGCCCGCUGCUGGGGCACGGCAGAGACUAACGUGUCGUGCCCGCAGUGCCGGGAGACCUUCCCGCAGAGGCACAUGCGGCCCAACCGGCAUCUGGCCAACGUGACCCAACUGGUGAAGCAGCUGCGCACCGAGCGGCCGUCGGGGCCCGGCGGCGAGAUGGGCGUGUGCGAGAAGCACCGCGAGCCCCUGAAGCUGUACUGCGAGGAGGACCAGAUGCCCAUCUGCGUGGUGUGCGACCGCUCCCGCGAGCACCGCGGGCACAGCGUGCUGCCGCUCGAGGAGGCGGUGGAGGGCUUCAAGGAGCAAAUCCAGAACCAGCUCGACCAUUUAAAAAGAGUGAAAGAUUUAAAGAAGAGACGUCGGGCCCAGGGGGAACAGGCACGAGCUGAGCUCUUGAGCCUAACGCAGAUGGAGAGGGAGAAGAUUGUUUGGGAGUUUGAGCAGCUGUAUCACUCCUUAAAGGAGCAUGAGUAUCGCCUCCUGGCCCGCCUUGAGGAGCUAGACUUGGCCAUCUACAAUAGCAUCAAUGGUGCCAUCACCCAGUUCUCUUGCAACAUCUCCCACCUCAGCAGCCUGAUCGCUCAGCUAGAAGAGAAGCAGCAGCAGCCCACCAGGGAGCUCCUGCAGGACAUUGGGGACACAUUGAGCAGGGCUGAAAGAAUCAGGAUUCCUGAACCUUGGAUCACACCUCCAGAUUUGCAAGAGAAAAUCCACAUUUUUGCCCAAAAAUGUCUAUUCUUGACGGAGAGUCUAAAGCAGUUCACAGAAAAAAUGCAGUCAGAUAUGGAGAAAAUCCAAGGUAAAUUUAUCUACCUACUGGGCUUUUGAUGUAAAGUUGCUUGGAAAAAAGAACAUCUGCACUGAAAGUGGGAAACAUGGGAUAAGGGUGAUACCCAUUGGCCAGCCUUCCCUGAUAUUUUACAUCUUCCCUUUGGUCUUAAUUAAUUUUCUCAAUUAACAGCCUCUUGUUCUAAUUUGAAGUCUGUUAACUGUAUUUAGUCAAUUCGCAAUCUGCAUUGAUGGAGGAGAAAAAUAAGCAAUCCAAAAAUUAAUCAAUCCAGAAUUAAUUUGAUUGUUUACUUCGGAAAGAAUGAACAAAAACUACCUUGGAUACAUUUCACUUGAGAGUGUUUAUCAUUGUAAUUUACUGAGUUCCUACUGCUUGUGGGCACAGGUGCCAGCUCGGGCUGGAGGAAUCGAGCAGCGCUGACAGGCAGCACCGCCAGGGACAUGGUUAGGAGCAGGCAGUCAGGAGUCAGGCUGCCUGGGUUCUGGGCCUGCCUCUACCACUUAGUAAGGAUUCAAUAAGCAAUUUCCUCAUCUGUAACAACAGUAAUAGUUCUUACCUCCUAAGGUAUAAGAAUUAAGGUUAGUUACCAUUUCUAACACUUCUAGAAUAGAACCUGACACAUAGUAAGUCCUAUAUUCAUGUUUAUUAAAUCGUUCUAGGCAUUUGGAGAAGCUUUUCCAAAUUAAAAUUUUUCUGCUCACGAGCCACAUUCAGUAAAGAGUUGGCCAUAUAUUAUUCCACCCAGGAAUACUAAAAUUCCUGGGCAGUCUGGUGGAUUCUGAAAUCCUUAUAUGUAGGUAAUCCCUUCUCUUAAUUAUUAGAAAUUAGAAACCCCCACAAUCUUUGAUAAUUUUCUAUUUUGUAUAUGCUGGGUUCUUAUUUGCAUUGCAUCUAUUCAGAUAUAUACUUUUUGGGGCAUCUAGCAACAUAGAUCUAGCAGAUACAUGUCCUCUACAAGCAAGACAAAUGGGGAGAAACUCCACUCAAUACAGUGGAUAAUACCAGAAGUGGUUAGUUCAGGCAUGACUUUCCUUGAUCUGGCUCUUUUCUUGCCACUUAAAAGGCUUAGUGGGAUAAUGUGUGAAAAAUUCUGUUUCAACUAUAAAGUGCCUUAUAAAUGAAUGGUUAUGUUUACCCCAGAGUGUCAGUGAGUGUCACUUGAGCCAUUCAGCUCUUGUACACAGAUGACUUAUGCAACUCAAAAGUUAUGUGUGAUGUGGGGUUGGAACCGCGUUUCCCUCUGCAGAAUCAGCUGACUCAAUGGAAGGUGGAAUUCUUGAUCUUGGCUCAGUUUGAUCCCAUAUUCUACCAGUCUCAGGCAUGUGGUUAUCCCUGUACUUAAGAUUCCCAGUCCAUCUCCCCCUAAAGCUUUUGGUUGAACGAUAGAGCCAUACAUCAUAUGAAAAAAUCAGUGCAUGACUGACAACAGAGGUUCUGGGGUUUCUAGUGGAGACCACUGCUUUAUGAUGACUAACCAAAGCCCCCUCAGUUAUGUAUUUCCUGGAAACCCUCAUGACUUCCAUAACUUUUCUCUUUUAUUCUUUCAGAAUUAAGAGAGGCUCAGUUAUACUCAGGUAGGUGAUGAGAGACAAAACCAUAUUAGGGUAAGGAGUAAAAAUCCUUGUGAACCUAACUACCGUUAUGAGUGAUUUGGAAAUUGCUUAGAUUUGGAUUCUUUAGGUUACAUGUAUAAAGAUGAUACACAACAAGCACAAAAAUCCUCAGUUGUUUCUAUGUGUUAACAGUAUCUUUGCCUCCUGAAAUGCCUCAGAGCUGAAGCCAUAGGGUAAAAUCAAUCUCAGGUGUUAAAGAAGGAUUAUAGGGUGGAAACCGCAGUUCCCAAAAGUAGAACAGAGCUGGUACACUAGUACACUGCUCUGCCUGCCCAGCUUCAGGGUCAAACCAUGGUUUGUGACAAGCAGGACUGAUUGAGCUCCACUAUUACUCUUGAGUGCUAGAGGAAGUCUAGGAGUCUUGUGUCAUCCCAUCACUGUGCCUCAGAGCAAAGUUUGAAACUCCCCUUCCCCCUCACAACCACUUUCACCCUACUGUAGAGCCUGGGUAAAUUUAACAUUGCAGAAGUACUCAAAUCUAAGGUGUAUUCGUCCCACAGUCACAGUCACCUUCUGUUAUGAAGUGUCCUCUAAAUGAAGAGAAGGACUCUACAUACAGUGGAUCUGCAGUCCUUGGUGUGCAGUGGCUCUGAUCCAUAUUUAAUUUCAACAAGUAUUAAAUGAGUACUUUGCUUGUAUCCUACACUGCCUAACAUUGUGAAGGGUAUUUUAGAGGAGCAGAAGAGCAUAAGUCAUCCUACUCUUAUGGGUUUACAUUGUCUGGUUGGAGGUAUACCCAUGACACAAGAAGAAGGUAGGCAGCUGUUGUAGACAGAUUGUUGAACCAGGAACCAAGGGUUCUGGGGUUCUUGGUUACCUCUACCAGUUGCCUUUCUUUUGUGGGAGUAAAAAUUUGUGGGCUUAAAUUUCUGAGAGGUAAUGUUUGGGACUCUUCCUCCUGAACAAAAUGUGAGGAGCAAAUGAGAGAAUACGUAUCAGUAUUUUUAUUUGUUUAUUUAUUAUUUUAAUUUUUUAAAUUUUUUAUUAUUCAUUUUAGAGGCAGGUUCUCUGUUGCCCAGACUGGUGUGCAGUGGCAUGGUGAUAGCUUGCUGCAGCCUCAUACUCCUGGGCUCAAGUGAUCCUCCUGCCUCAGCCAGCCUCCUGAGUAGCUGGAAUUACAGGCAUGCACCACCAUGCUUGCCUAAUUUUUUUGCUUUUAUUUUUUGUAGAGACAGGGUCUCAAACUCCUGUAUGCAAGCAAUCCUCUUGCCUCAGCUUCCCAAAGUGCUGAGAUUACAGGCAUGAGCCACAUACCCAGCCCAUUAUCAGUGUUUUUGAAGCAGGAAAACACUUGAUGAUAGCAAGAUGCUGUAAUACUAAAUGCCAGAGGAGAUGACAUGGGUCAUACAGAGUUUUAGAUUUCAGAACAGGAAGAGUGUAAUGGCCUGGGCAGGUAAAGAAAAACUUGGAGGAUGUGUGUCUUGGACUGGACAUUAGAAGAAGAUGAAUAGAGCUUUGAUGUGCAGAGUGAAGAUCUUACAGAAUGGAUAAAAGAGUGAUUUGGGCUGGGCGUAGUGGCUCACACCUGUAGUCCUAACACUUUGGAAGGCUGAAAUGGGAAGUCUGCUUGAGCCAGGGAGAUGAAGUCUGCAGUGAGCCAUGAUUAUGCCACUGUACUACAGUCUGGGUGACAGAGUGAGACCUCAUCUCAAAAAAUAAAAAAAAAGUAAAAAAUAAUUUUAAAAGAGUGAUUUAAAAAGUAAGCAUACUGAUACAGGUUCCCAGUCCCUUACCCACAGUUCUAAAAUCCCAAAUCUCUGAAAGCCAAAACCUUUUUCAUUAUUUUGUGGGAAAUUAAUUAUAGCAUCAAAACCUGAAUUUAUGUGGUACUGUUUAGAGUCUUUAUCCUUCAUUAUGUAAACAUUCAUAGAUCUCACAGCAGAUCUAUUAAUACUUCAUUAUAGAAUGCUGCACCAGACCCUGCGUGUCUAAAACCUGUAAUAUUCUGAAUUCUGUGAAACUUGGGGCCCCUGGAGUUUUCAGAAUAAGGGAUGAUGAGCGUGUAAGAAAACCUCAAUUCAGCGUAUCUGCCAGGCACAGUGGCUCAUGCCUGAAAUCCCAUUGCUUUGGGAAGUUGAGGUGGGAGGAUUGCUUGAGGCCAAGAGUUCGAGACCAUCCUGGGCAACAUAGUAAGACCUCAUCUCUACAAAAAAUUUUUAAAAAUUAGCCAGGGUGGUAGUGCACACCUAUGGUCCCAGCUAGUUGGGAGUCUUAGGCGGGAGAAUCACCUGAGCCCAGGAGUUUGGGGUUACAAUGAACUAUGACCAUACCACUGUGCUCCAGCCGAGGCAACAGAGCAAGACCCUAUCUCUUAAAAUCAGUUCAUAAUGGAUAUUGUGGCUUCAGAUGUGAAAGAAAAGAUACGGGGCUAAAAUUCUGUAUUUUCAGUGUAUUCUGGUAACCAGCUAAUCCAAGCAGUAAUUUUUGAAAUGUGAAGUUUAGAAUAUAUUCUAAAUAAAAUACGUGCAACCUCCAGUGGGAACCUCUUAUUCUUGGGGAGGUAGUAGAAAGGCGCUGGGUGUUCUAAAAUAGGCUCUCUUUGUGUCUCUGCAGUGGACGUGACUCUGGACCCAGACACGGCCUACCCCAGCCUGAUCCUCUCUGAUAAUCUGCGGCAAGUGCGGUACAGUUACCUCCAACAGGACCUGCCUGACAACCCCGAGAGGUUCAAUCUGUUUCCCUGUGUCUUGGGCUCUCCGUGCUUCAUCGCUGGGAGACAUUAUUGGGAGGUAGAGGUGGGAGAUAAAGCCAAGUGGACCAUAGGUGUCUGUGAAGACUCAGUGUGCAGAAAAGGUGGAGUAACCUCAGCCCCCCAGAAUGGAUUCUGGGCAGUGUCUUUGUGGUAUGGGAAAGAAUAUUGGGCUCUUACCUCCCCAAUGACUGCCCUCCCCCUGCGGACCCCGCUCCAGCGGGUGGGGAUUUUCUUGGACUAUGAUGCUGGUGAGGUCUCCUUCUACAACGUGACAGAGAGGUGUCACACCUUCACUUUCUCUCAUGCUACCUUUUGUGGGCCUGUCCGGCCCUACUUCAGUCUGAGUUACUCGGGAGGGAAAAGCGCAGCUCCUCUGAUCAUCUGUCCCAUGAGUGGGAUAGAUGGGUUUUCUGGCCAUGUUGGGAAUCAUGGUCAUUCCAUGGAGACCUCCCCUUGAGGAGGUGAAUUCAGGCCAAAAGGGCUGUUGGCUGUAAUCCUAUGCCAGGCACAAGGCAUCUUGUUGCCUUGCCACGUCCUGUCACAGCUGGGUAUCCUUACCAUGUUCCACGCCCUUGCAGUGGGAGACAGGAUGUCCAUGUUCUCUACCAUCCUUUUCCUUCCCGUGCAGAUUGUGAAAUGUAAUGAGAUGUAUCAAGAUAUCCUAGAAAUAAAAACCAGAUGUUCACCUCCAGUGUUUCACACUUUCUGGUUUUACACAUUGCUGGAGGGAUAAAGAGUAUGGAUAAUCUUUGGAUUUGGAGAGCCAUUCAAGAUACUUCCAGCUUCUUGGCUCAGCCUGGCUUCCUCUGGUUCAGCCCCACAUAAUGAUUAUGGCUAUUUGCUGUCAUUUUUGGGCUAGGGCUCCUUUCUAACAACCUAGACUGGAACAAGGCCCUGUCAGCAUGGCUCCCUUUAUCCCAGUUUUUCCGACUGGGAACAGUACCUCUGCCCCUGAUUCCCAAUGUGCCAUAGUUUUAUUAACUCCAUUAAAGAAGCCUGUAUGUGUUUUGGUUAGUUACAGUUAUUUUACAAUAAUGGUGGGUAAUGGCCCCACCUCUGUUAUGAGAUAAUGUUCUAAUCAAUGUCUCUGCCUUUGUAUCUUUUCUGAGGGCUUUGUCUGCUCUCUUCAUUCUAAUGAAAGGUGUAUUCUAGUGCUGGGUGCGUAUCAUCCAGGAUAAUAUUCUGCCCAAUUCCAUCCUCUGUUACUAGAUCCCUUACCAGUCACAUUUGUGAACAGGUGGCCAGUCGUAUACCAUCCCUGGAAGGAUUCUGGGACAAUAUUCCAGGGAUUCAUUGGCUUCUUGGCUCCUUUUCUCCAUUUCCUUUGGGGGAAGAGGGAAUUGACCAUUCUUAAGUGCAUACUAUCAAGGGGCAGCUCCAUCCCCAUGGCCAUUGGAUCAUGAGACACUCUGAAGUCAGAAGGCUGGGGCAGAUCACUUCGAGCAAGCCCCCGUGAUGGUUCUCAGUCCUGCUUCUCUUUGGGUACAUGCCCCUCUGUUUAAAAAUAAAGUGAAUAUGGAUAUUUA
This 7022-nucleotide small RNA is filed under the name Pongo abelii (Sumatran orangutan). RNAcentral describes it as "retained intron". Lineage: Eukaryota; Metazoa; Chordata; Mammalia; Primates; Hominidae. The record is from RNAcentral.